UACGUAGGGGGCGAGCGUUGUCCGAAGUUACUGGCGUAAAGCGCGCGUAGGCGGGGGAUUAAGUGAGAGGUGAAAGGCUGGGGCUCAACCCCAUGCAGUGCCUCUCAUACUGGUCUUCUUGAGGGCGGUAGGGAGAAGUGGAAUGGCUGGUGUAGCGGUGAAAUGCGUAGAUAUCAGUCGGAACACCGGUGGCGAAGGCGGCUUCGUUGGGCCGUUCCUGACGCUGAGGCGCGAAAGCUGGGGGAGCGAACGGGAGU
This 257-nucleotide ribosomal RNA is filed under the name uncultured bacterium. RNAcentral describes it as "partial 16S ribosomal RNA". It matches the Rfam family "Bacterial small subunit ribosomal RNA", at positions 524 to 779 of the family's 1533-position model. The record is from RNAcentral.